GCACUGGCUAACUCUGUGCCAGCAGCCGCGGUAAUACAGAGAGUGCAAGCGUUAAUCGGAAUCACUGGGCGUAAAGCGCGCGUAGGUGGAUAUUUAAGUCGGAUGUGAAAGCCCUAGGCUUAACCUAGGAACUGCACUCGAUACUGAGUAUCUCGAGUAUAGUAGAGGGAAGUGGAAUUUCCGGUGUAGCGGUGAAAUGCGUAGAUAUCGGAAAGAACACCAGUGGCGAAGGCGGCUUCCUGGACUAAUACUGACACUGAGGUGCGAAAGCGUGGGGAGCAAACAGGAUUAGAGACCCUGGU
This 302-nucleotide ribosomal RNA is filed under the name bacterium symbiont of Haemaphysalis shimoga. RNAcentral describes it as "bacterial SSU rRNA". It matches the Rfam family "Bacterial small subunit ribosomal RNA", at positions 490 to 791 of the family's 1533-position model. The record is from RNAcentral.